UACGUAGGGGGGCUAGCGUUGUCCGGAAUCAUUGGGCGUAAAGAGCGUGUAGGCGGUCCGGUAAGUCCGCUGUGAAAGUCGGGGGCUCAACCCUCGAAUGCCGGUGGAUACUGUCGGGCUAGAGUGCGGGAAGAGGCGAGUGGAAUUCCUGGUGUAGCGGUGAAAUGCGCAGAUAUCAGGAGGAACACCUAUUGCGAAGGCAGCUCGCUGGGACGUUACUGACGCUGAGACGCGAAAGCGUGGGGAGCAAACAGG
RNAcentral lists this ribosomal RNA (255 nucleotides) under uncultured bacterium. RNAcentral describes it as "partial 16S ribosomal RNA". It matches the Rfam family "Bacterial small subunit ribosomal RNA", at positions 524 to 776 of the family's 1533-position model. The record is from RNAcentral.